This 1362-nucleotide long non-coding RNA is filed under the name Mus pahari (shrew mouse). Its description in RNAcentral is "lncRNA (MGP_PahariEiJ_G0005221.1)". Lineage: Eukaryota; Metazoa; Chordata; Mammalia; Rodentia; Muridae. The record is from RNAcentral.
GGGAAAACCGAUGUGGCUUGCUCUUCCCAGGGUCCCGCAAACGUCGCGGGAGAAAAACCGAAGACACGAGGUGCUCCCAGUGUGGUCCAACAGGCAUAUUUUAAAUAUAUGUCCCCAGGUNCGUGGCUGAAGAAAAUUCUGGAAGGACUCCCAAGAAGUUAUUUCUUUUUUCUGCUUGCUGUGAUAUUGAGGAGAAACAGUGAUGACAUCUUUUUGGCUGGAUGGAACUGAUAGAAGAUUUAUGGAGCAGCUGAGGACUGUCAGAGCCCGAUCCAGCAGACUCCCUAAAAAAAGGACCAUGGCCUUUCAUCAGCGAGCACACUGCCUUCUGAAAUGGCCUAACACGAGAGAGAGAGAGAGAGAGAGAGAGAGAGAGAGAGAGAGGAUCCUAUCUAACCAGCCAUCAGUGAGGUUAUCCCUGUACCCCACAGCUGCUGCCACCCAAUCUGAAGGUUCCCGCUUCUGCUCUUGAAGGAUUGUAUGUGACCACACAGAAGUCCUAGCUGUCACCCAUCGUCAAAGCCCCUGGCCCCAGUCUGGGACCCAGAGCCCUCCAGGAGUGGGAAACUUCAUCCUAUACCUUCUCAGUCACAGGGAUUUCAGAAAUUAGUCACAGGAAACAGGGAGGCUGAGAGUGGAGGCUUCUAAGAGGAGCCAGUAACAAGAUCUGGGGUCUUUCAGCCCAAGUCACAGAAGCUUAGACUGUCCCCAAGGUAGGGAUGAGUGGUCAAGGAUGGAACCGGUCUCCCCAAGGCCUCUGCCAGCAGCAAGAGCUUUUGAGAGAUGGAACCUAUAACCAGGGAGUCGUCCCCUCACUGAGGGGUCUCUCCCGUACCUCAAAUGCCUGCCCUAGUACUCUCAACUCUGAGAUACACACAAGGGUAGACUGGAACCCAGAACCCAGCAUGUGUCUGAAACAAAGUCUUGACCUGACUUCCACCUCUCCUCAUGAAUGAACACUGAGACACUCUACAGCUCUGUUGCAUCUCAGAGCACAGGACACUCUCAGACAUCCCAGAAUUGUCACUCACAGACAUCUCAUGUGGACAGACAGUAAAUGACAAUCAUUCUAAAGGGAUGGAAAAGUUGUGGGGUGGUAGAGGCAGAAACAUAAGGCACUGGGUUCAAUCCUCUAUGUGAAGAGAAAGAUGAUCAUACAUACAUACAUACAUACAUACAUACAUACAUACAUACAUACAUACAUACAUAGAUCAGAGACACAAGCUAAAUAUCGACCAACAGAAAAAAGUUUAAGGCUGGUGAGUUCAAAUCCCAGUCACCACAUGGUGGCUCACUACCCUCUGUAACACUUCUGGAGUGUCUGAAAACAGUUACAGUAUAGUUACAUAUAUUAAAUAUAUC